Molecule: ribosomal RNA, 468 nt
Filed under: uncultured bacterium
Lineage: Bacteria
Description: partial 16S ribosomal RNA
Rfam family: Bacterial small subunit ribosomal RNA
Source: RNAcentral
GACGAACGCUGGCGGCGUGCUUAACACAUGCAAGUCGAACGGAAAGGCCCUGCUUUUGUGGGGUGCUCGAGUGGCGAACGGGUGAGUAACACGUGAGUAACCUGCCCUUGACUUUGGGAUAACUUCAGGAAACUGGGGCUAAUACCGGAUAGGAGCUCCUGCUGCAUGGUGGGGGUUGGAAAGUUUCGGCGGUUGGGGAUGGACUCGCGGCUUAUCAGCUUGUUGGUGGGGUAGUGGCUUACCAAGGCUUUGACGGGUAGCCGGCCUGAGAGGGUGACCGGCGACAUUGGGACUGAGAUACGGACCAGACUCCUACGGGAGGCAGCAGUGGGGAAUAUUGCACAAUGGGCGGAAGCCUGAUGCAGAAACGCCGCGUGCGGGAUGACGGCCUUCGGGCUGUAAACCGCUUUCGCCUGUGACGAAGCGUGAGUGACGGUAAUGGGUAAAGAAGCACCGGCUAACUACGUG